AAAUAAUUAGUUAAUAUAUAAUAUUAGAUUGUCAUUCUAGAGUUAAUAAUUUUUAUUAUUAUUUA
Molecule: transfer RNA, 65 nt
Filed under: Habropoda radoszkowskii
Lineage: Eukaryota; Metazoa; Arthropoda; Insecta; Hymenoptera; Apidae
Description: tRNA-Asp
Source: RNAcentral